This 319-nucleotide long non-coding RNA is filed under the name Malus domestica (apple). Its description in RNAcentral is "long non-coding RNA (MDOM_LNC016937)". Lineage: Eukaryota; Viridiplantae; Streptophyta; Magnoliopsida; Rosales; Rosaceae. The record is from RNAcentral.
ACCAGAGAACAAAGUGCAGCAGCGCUGCCCCCCUUCCUUGCUUCCUCAAACCAAAAUUUACAUGAAAUCAAAAUUUACAUGAAAUUUGUUGUUUGAUAGGCUGAAUAAUUGAACAGACAAAAAGUCGAGUAGAGAGAAAAUGAGGUUUCGCGAAGAUGAAGAGUUCUCAGGUGAAGGAUUGGUGUUGAUGUUGAAUCGUUGAUGGGCAGUGGGAGUGAUGAUUGAUUUAUUUUUGAACUUUUAGUUAUUUAGUUAUUUAAUAUUAUUAAACAUUGAUACUGUUAAACUGAGAGUUAAAAUAAAGACACAUGUCAUAAAU